AGUGAACGCUGGCGGUAGGCCUAACACAUGCAAGUCGAACGGCAGCACAGGAGAGCUUGCUCUCUGGGUGGCGAGUGGCGGACGGGUGAGGAAUACAUCGGAAUCUACUCUGUCGUGGGGGAUAACGUAGGGAAACUUACGCUAAUACCGCAUACGACCUACGGGUGAAAGCAGGGGAUCUUCGGACCUUGCGCGAUUGAAUGAGCCGGUGUCGGAUUAGCUAGUUAGCGGGGUAAAGGCCCACCAAGGCGACGAUCCGUAGCUGGUCUGGGAGGAUGAUCAGCCACACUGGAACUGAGACACGGUCCAGACUCGUACGGGAGGCAGCAGUGGGGAAUAUUGGACAGUGGGCGCAAGCCUGAUCCAGCCAUACCGCGUGGGUGAAGAAGGCCUUCGGGUUGUAAAGCCCUUUUGUUGGGAAAGAAAUCCAGCUGGCUAAUACCCGGUUGGGAUGACGGUACCCAAAGAAUAAGCACCGGCUAACUUCGUGCCAGCAGCCGCAGUAA
This 506-nucleotide ribosomal RNA is filed under the name uncultured bacterium. Its description in RNAcentral is "partial 16S ribosomal RNA". It matches the Rfam family "Bacterial small subunit ribosomal RNA", at positions 29 to 523 of the family's 1533-position model. The record is from RNAcentral.